GACGAGCGCUGGCGGCGUGCUUAACACAUGCAAGUCGAACGCUGAAGACCUGGCUUUUGUUGGGUUGGAUGAGUGGCGAACGGGUGAGUAACACGUGAGUAACCUGCCCUCUUCUUUGGGAUAACGCCCGGAAACGGGUGCUAAUACUGGAUAUUCACUGAUCUUCGCAUGGGGGUUGGUGGAAAGGUUUGUUCUGGUGGGGGAUGGGCUCGCGGCCUAUCAGCUUGUUGGUGGGGUGAUGGCCUACCAAGGCUUUGACGGGUAGCCGGCCUGAGAGGGUGACCGGUCACAUUGGGACUGAGAUACGGCCCAGACUCCUACGGGAGGCAGCAGUGGGGAAUAUUGCACAAUGGGCGAAAGCCUGAUGCAGCGACGCCGCGUGAGGGAUGGAGGCCUUCGGGUUGUAAACCUCUUUCGCUCAUGGUCAAGCCGCAACUGUGGGUUGUGGUGAGGGUAGUGGGUAAAGAAGCGCCGGCUAACUACGUG
This 486-nucleotide ribosomal RNA is filed under the name uncultured bacterium. RNAcentral describes it as "partial 16S ribosomal RNA". It matches the Rfam family "Bacterial small subunit ribosomal RNA", at positions 28 to 507 of the family's 1533-position model. The record is from RNAcentral.